Molecule: ribosomal RNA, 112 nt
Filed under: Periophthalmus magnuspinnatus
Lineage: Eukaryota; Metazoa; Chordata; Actinopteri; Gobiiformes; Gobiidae
Source: RNAcentral
UUCAAUGUGUAGCCUACUUUAAAGAUGUCCUUUUCUCUUGGAAGCUAAGCAAGACCGGGCCUGGUUAGUACUUGGAUGGGAGACCACUGGAAAUAGCAGGUGCACAUUGGCA